AGUUGCGCAAAAGAGCAUCUGAGUUUUGCUUCUAUCGGUUAGGUAGUUUCUCGAUCAAUUUCCAUUUUCAUACCUUUGUGUUCACCAAUUAGUUUUGGAUUAUUGUUCAUCCAUUUGUUGCUUUUUGAUCGGUCAACGAUGCUUUCUUAAUGAUUGAGUACGAUUACUAGGAGACUGUUUAAUACUUCCUGCAACUAAGCACCUAAAAUUGUUUUCGGUUAUUGGUCAAAGUGGAUUUGAAAAUAGCAUCGGAUAUGUUUGCUAGAAGUUGAUUUUGGACUAUUUUUUAUAAGAUAGCAAGAAGGUUAUAACAGUAGCAAAUUCUGAAGGCUUUCCAGUAUCAGGAAGUGAAGAGACUGGAUUGAAACCUGUUGUCCGAAUGUCUAGUAAUUAUAGUGCAGGUGUUCCUAUCAAGAAAAGGAGGUUCCCGUUAAUCCGGCCUCCUUCACCUCCUGCCAAAGAACAAUCUGUAAUAAAUGAUUUGCUACAAAAAGAAAUUUCUAGCCCAUCUCAAGGGUCAGCUCUAUCAAAUGCCAAGGUUGGGCCAAGUUCAUCUGGCUUAUCUGAUGCAAACAAGGAAUCACUUCUUGCGGAAAGAAAGGGAAAUCCUGAUGCAACAAAUGUUAAAAUGGUUAACAGCAGUGCUAAAACCUAUAGCAUCAAGGUUGAACAACCAAGUCUUACAAUUCACUCUAUUUCCAGGGCUGAUGUGGACAGCAAA
Pistacia vera is the source of this 721-nucleotide long non-coding RNA. RefSeq lists it as uncharacterized. The transcript has 3 exons. Lineage: Eukaryota; Viridiplantae; Streptophyta; Magnoliopsida; Sapindales; Anacardiaceae. The record is from RefSeq and is a predicted model, not a curated record.